CGCCAGGGCCGCGCUGAGGGCCGUGUGUGCCGCCCGCACCCAGCGCCCGCCGGGGCCCAUGGCCCCCCGGCUUCACCGGCUCCGGGGCUCCGCCAGCCCGGAAGGCCUCCGGACAGCGCGGGCAGGGCCGGACGGGACACGGGCAGCGCCCCGAGGCGGGGCCAGGGCGGCCCAGCCCUGCGGGGGAGGCUCCGCUGGGCUGUUGGGCUCGUUCCACUCCCAGAGCGGGCCUGGGUUCUGGUGGCUCGGACUCGGCAGACACCGUGAGCCGGGUCCCUGGCUCCUUUCGUCCUCCACACCGCCCCGGCGUUGUUGACCCGGCCCUGCGGGGCUUUUCCUCGAGGAAUGUUUUCCCUGAGCCCUUCCCGCGUGUCCUCCCGCCCUCAGCCCGGGCUCUGGGGCGCAGGGCUGGGCAAACUGUUCAGAACCUCCGUUACACCGGGGAGGCGCUGCUGGGUGCAUGGAGCUGGGGAAGGUUCGGGCAGCAGGUGCCGUUCAAAGGCUCCUCAAGGUGAUGCCCAAGGUGCUGCUCUGCCUUAAUCCUGCCCUUGCUAACGUGGUUAUUCCAUAUGUUGGUUUCCAGCCCCCGGGAAGAAGCGCGGAGAGGCUGUGCUUUGCUGGAAGCAGCCACACGACCCCAUUACAAAACAGAGCCUGGAGAACGUCUGACAUAACUCGAGGAGGGAUUGGAUCUGGUUGAGAUGGCUGCAGUCAAGAGGCUCCUGGCAGGGUGGGGUCACUGAACACCCCCGAGGGCUGCAGGUAAAUGCAAAGCCUAUGGCUCUCUUCCCUCAGACACCUCAGGCUGUACUGGUGCUCAGAAAAAGGUAUGAAAUUACAGCUCUCACUUUGCCAAUGAUCAGCUGGCUCUUACAACCCUCAAAGGAUGACUCCAAAGAAAGGUGGCAUCGCAAGGGUGAUGGACUCUACCUUCUGCAAAAUGCUCUCAUUGUAACUGUGCAGUUGGCAGUUCAGUGACAGGCCAGUAUGAUUCUGAAGGCAGGCAGCCUACCCAAGUAGAGGGAAAAGUGAUAACUGGAGACUACUGGCCUAAGAACUGCAAAUAGCCAUGUGGCUCCCUUGCUCAACAAGCCAAUCUACAACCCAGCUGCCUGGUAAUGAUCUCUGUGCACUGCCCACCUAUAAACAUCUCUAGUAUUGUUUUCAUCCUCUUUUUCCUCUGCUUCUCCUCUCUUCAAUUCAUACCUCUCGUACACAUCACUACAGGCCUUGCUUUGGUAGCCUCACUUUAGUGGAAGAAUUAAAAACUAAACUAAGGCUAAAUUGAGAGUUUGCAAUGUGCACUGGUGUCCUACCGGGCCAUUUCCUUGGUCUCUUGUCGUGCUGAGGCCAUUUUAAUCAUGUCCUUCAGGAGAGGAAUCCCACCUUCUUUGAUCAGCAGUGGGCAGUACUUGUCAGCUGCAGAGAAAAGAAUAAAUCAGGUCCUUGU
This is a long non-coding RNA of Camarhynchus parvulus, 1450 nucleotides long. RefSeq lists it as uncharacterized. NCBI's taxonomy places the organism in Eukaryota, Metazoa, Chordata, Aves, Passeriformes, Thraupidae. The transcript is spliced from 3 exons. The record is from RefSeq and is a predicted model, not a curated record.